CGUCUUUCUUCCUUUUACCGUUGUUUCUUUUCUUCUCUACUUUCUUUUCCUUUUCCUUACUCUAAUAUGUUCUCUACUUUUCUUUCAUUGUCGUCAGUUUUCUCUCAUUCAGAUUCUUCCUUCUCCACCUCCUCCUCCUUCUCUAAUGGAGAUCAUGCAAUCAAGAUCUCUCUUUUUACUUUUCUUUUUUCUUUUCCUUUACUUUUUUUGGUUAACCUGUUUUCCUGGAGAUGCAAACGAGAAACAAUAGGAUGGACAAUUUCAGGAAAGAAGAAAUGCGUUUAAAGCGGAAGGUUGUUUAUGAAAAAUAAAAUGGUAAUGCUGAUCAAUUUGUUUUAACCAAAUUAAUACAAAAUACAGAAAAUAUAACAACUAAUAGUACAAAAUAUAGAAAGUGUCAUUCUUUAUUCAUUCUUUAUUGAACGGACUAAAAAGGAAGGUGUGUCAUAUAAAUUUGGACAAACAACGUAUAAAAUCUUCAAAAUCAAACCAAAAUAAAAUAGCAUAAAUGCCGGUUAAAAUAAUAUUCUAUUUGAUAAUUCUUUCUUUGAAGAAAUGUUUUAAAGGAAAAAUCAUUUUUUGUUCCUCUCCUUUUGCCUUUAAAUCAAAUUCUCCCUCCAAUUUUAAACCAUAGAAAUUUUCUCCCCUAUCCCAAGCAAUGUUUGUUUUGCACUUUAGUUUUAUAAUCCUCACUAUAUGUAAUUUGUUUAUUAUAUUACUUAAAUUCCUUUUUUCAACUCAAGUGCUUUGUCUAUAAUUCAUAUGAUGACAUAUUUUAUUCAAAAUUAUGAAUUCUAAAUGUAUAACCGUUCUAAAUAAAAUGAUUUUAAGGGCGCCAAAUUGACUGGUGAUUUUAUAAAUCCAUGUUUAUAUUUUAUUCUAUAUUAUUGACCUCUAUUUUAUGUGCAUGUUCUUAAUAUUGUGAUACUUCUUUUCAUUUCUUUUUCCAUCUAAGUUGUUUGAUUUACCUAUAUAAUAGGUCAAUCUUUAUUUAUGGAAUAAAACAAGGUAAAUAAAUGGUAAUCAUACAUAUUUUAGAGUUUGCUUCAUCAAACAGAUAGUUUAUACAACACCAUAUAUUAAUAGUUAUUCCAAAUAUUUGCAGACAUAACAUUUAGUUAUUAGUCUACAGUCUACUAGAAUUUUAUAUAUAUUAGUUUCUAAAUAAAGAUAAAUUACACAUAUUCUUGAGUUGAAUAAACAAACUAUUUAAUUUUUCACUGUUCAGGUCUGGAGAUAAUAUUUAAUAAUCAAAUAUGUCUUCACAUUCAAACAUCUUAAUCUUAAGCAAAACAAUCGGGUCUGAAGUUAAAUGGAACGACAUUGUUCCAUCUCAAAUAAUUAAGCAAUUUGAUGUUCCAACGUCGGUGACGUAUCAUCAGAUGACGCGCUUUUUCUGUCACAUCAUCACUCAAGGGGUUAACUGAUUCUCUUCAAACAAGAUCAGAGAGGUAAAGGGUUGCCAGCAAAGUUUAGGUGUAUAAGAAAUUUUUUGGGACAAGGAGGAAAAUAAGAAUUUUCCCUACUCACACAUGUAUACGUGUCUGUAUAAACAUAUGCUCUCAGUAUGUGUACAUGUGUGUGUAUUAAGAUUCUAUAUGUGAAUAUGUAAACAUAUUAUGUGUGUGUGGGCGCGCAUCAAUAUACACACACAUACAUAUGAAUAUGCAUAUAUUUUCUGUAUUUAUUUAUGCUUAAUUUACUAAGUUCAUAUGUCAAAAGAUAUGUAUGUAUCCUAUCCUACAUCUCCUACCUUGUAUGUGAAAACUUACUAGUAUCCAGUCCAAAGUUCCUCUAACAUUGGGAAAUUUAUCGUCUGCAAGAGCUUAAAUCAAUUUUCAAUUCAAUCAAGCAGAACUAUAUCCAAGAUCCUCAACUAGCUCAUGUAAAUAAAAUGCAAAACUGCUUAAAUUUUGAACUUACCUUCCAAAACGCGGAGCUAUCACCAAUAAUUGCACCCUAAGUGUGUCUAUCACAGGUGUACUUUCAUCAAGCAUUAGGUUGCA
Molecule: long non-coding RNA, 2006 nt
Filed under: Solanum lycopersicum (tomato)
Lineage: Eukaryota; Viridiplantae; Streptophyta; Magnoliopsida; Solanales; Solanaceae
Description: long non-coding RNA (SLYC_LNC000426)
Source: RNAcentral